AUUGGUGAUUUUAAUGAGAUUAUAUUCUCGUCGGAAAAUGAGGAAGGAGCCCGUCGGCAAUACAGUUGGAUGCAAGCUUUUCAGGAUGCGCUUAUGGAUGGUUCCCUCAAGGAUAUUGGCUACCAUGGUGAUAAGUUCACCUUCUUCGGAGGAGGACUAAGGGAACGGCUCGACCGAGCGGUGUCAAAUGCAGACUGGAUGGAGAUGCACCCAUUAUGCAAUUUGAGUAACUUAAAAAUGGGCUAGUCGGAUCACAGACCUAUCUGCUUGGAUACUGAGUAUUUGGCACGUGUAGCUUUGCCAAGCCCUGGUGCCGGUCACAAGUUCGAAGCAAGAUGGCUAGCAGAAGAAGCAGUUGAGGAAGUGGCAAAAACUGCAUGGCUAAAGGUGGUUACUCGUGGGCUUUGUACUACGGCCAGCGAUAAACUUGCUACUGUCCAUAAAGAACUUCAUAUGUGGGAUCACAAGGUUUUCAAGGGACCGCGGUACAGAUUACGUUCAGCUCAGCGGGAGCUAGAUAUGCUCAUGAGAGAGCCAUAUAGUUCAGAGGUGAAGGCAAAACAGCAGGAUCUCUCGAUGUUGAUAGAGAAUCUCCUAGAGCAGGAGGAGAUAUACUGGGCCACCGUGGUCACGCGAACUGAUUGCGCCGCGGUGAUCGUAACACCAGAUCUUUUAACUAGUUUGCCUCGGCCCGUAGACGCCGUAACUUGA
Molecule: ribosomal RNA, 711 nt
Filed under: Triticum aestivum (bread wheat)
Lineage: Eukaryota; Viridiplantae; Streptophyta; Magnoliopsida; Poales; Poaceae
Description: partial small subunit ribosomal RNA
Source: RNAcentral